ACUAAAAUAAAGAGGGGCUACAUAACUUCUUUCAACAGGAUUGAAGAGACCUGUAAUAAGCUGCAGAGUAAGUCUUACUUUGUGACUGAAAUUGUGCCUUUUUCCCUAGAAUUACUUUCCAUACUAGCUGAUGAAAUUGAAAGGAAGAAGAGGAAGAAAACUACAUGUCAUUUUGAGCAAAGCCAUAGCAAAAAAUCUGAUUGUCCACUUGCAGGACGGGUCUUUCCAGACGAAGGAGAGGAGACCUUUCGCUGGCCUACAUAUCAAAUAAUUUCUCACCCUGCGAGUGGUGGAGGAAGCAAUCCAAGUCCCUUAGCUCUGAAUCCCUUUCCUUUCUCUGGGCUUGUACUUGGCAGCAGGGGUAGGGUGCUGCUGGCUGUGCUGCCGUGCGUUGUUUGAUAGAUGCAGACAAAUCCAGGAAGCGAUGCGAAUCCUGUAUGACUUCUGUUAUCCCCAGAGGGACUUCCUGCAACGGAAACAAUUAGGGUGGCUUUUGUUGCCUUUGGGUUAAGGGGAGGGCUGCUGUCAGGUUAUUAUUUCCAUUGGCGUCUAAGAAACCGGUCCCUUAAGAUGUCACAUUCUGAGUGGCUUGUGACACAACCCUAAGUGAGCAGACUUCUCCAGGGAAUGAAGAGCCAUUCACCACCACGGGGCUAAAGGCUAGCCAAGAGCAGUUGCACCAAGCUCGCUGUGGCAGUAGAGGAGCCUGUACAGCUGCAAAGCCACCUGAAGUGCCGUGUCAUUUUACUGCCCUUCUGCAGGGGAAACUUCCCGACUUGCUUCAAAGCUGCUGUUCUCUCUGCCACUGUAGCGGUCUUAAAAAUGAAAAUCAUUUUGGGGACAGGUUCGGGAGCAUCAGGGGAUGGGAUUGGAGAGACCACCUGAGGGACUCGCUCUCUGAUGCUCUGCACUGAUCUCUGCCAGCAAAUGGCUGCUGCUCUUACCAGGCAGUGAGUGUGCACUCAGAGGUGGAAGUGCUGUCAUGGAAACUUUAAAGCGCCGCUUAUGGAGGUGUGCAAACUGCAGAAUCAAAAGUAUUAAUUGCAGCUUGGAUAUUUAUUUAUUUAGCCUGAGAAUCAAAUUAGGCAAUCGUGACAGUAAAGCAGUAGUAUAAAAUUGAGUGGCCUGUUGUGACUGUGUUCUGGGGAAAACCCGUGUGUUUCAGUAUUAAAGGAGGGAAGGUGAAAGUGAUCCUUCCCACCUGCCUGUGCUGCGAGACAGAAACUUGGCUCAGCCUUCUGCUUGAAGCAGUGGUGGGAAAUGUGCUUGAAGAUCUAAUUUUGACUCUGGCCAAAGAGGGAGGAGGACACAAGGAGCUGCAGCGGUAUCAAGAUUCCAGGCUGGUAUUCAAAACCAAAUCAAAUGCAUACAGGAGCAGCAUAAAAAAAAACAAAUCAGA
Molecule: long non-coding RNA, 1399 nt
Filed under: Anser brachyrhynchus (Pink-footed goose)
Lineage: Eukaryota; Metazoa; Chordata; Aves; Anseriformes; Anatidae
Description: lncRNA (ENSABRG00000009608.1)
Source: RNAcentral